GUAAUCUUGUCGACCCUCUUUGUAUUCCAGCCAGGGCAUCUGCUCCAGGUUGUUUGGAUAUUCGUUGAGACCCCCAGCCAUCUCACAGAUGGAGAUGAUGAUCUGCUGAGUCCAGAUGGUGCCUGUGAGUAAAAUAAAGGUUGUACGUGCAAGAACAGUGGGCACCAAUUACAGCCUCCAUCACAGCCUCCAUCACAACUAGGACCCCCUACUGUCUGAUCCUCUUCUCUCUGCAUGACACCACGAAACACCACGAAACACCAGGCAGAGCUACGCAGGGUUUGUGGAGAGCCGCCCCAGGUAUAGCAGACACACAGAAACUUUGGGUUACACCAACAUGAAACAUUGUUUUCCAGGGGCCCUGCACGUUUUUUUUUCAUUGGAUGGCAACCAAAAAAAACAAAACAAAACAAAAGCCAUAACUGGAUUUCAUGACAUAUGUCAUAUUGUUGUAGUACAGAGGCCAGUUGGAACUACACAUAUAAUUUGGUGUCUAAUUUAUUGUUAAUUUUAGCUGUCAAAGUGACCACAGAAAAAAUUGCUGAGCUGUGUUGGAGGGAGGAAAAUGCCACUCAUAGGAAAGACAUCCAUAGUGUGUCUAUGAGUCUUUAAAUACUGUGGUGAGCUGCAUUGAAGAAUGUCAAUGGAAAAUUGAUUUCUGUCUUUUAUGCACACUGUAGACUGCAAAUGCUUUCGAUUUGACACACAGGAGACACUAAUAAAGGUGAAUGUGGCAGGAAGACAUCAAACACUACACUUUACACUCACAAUCCUAGCAACACUUAACUAAAUUAACCAGGCUAACUAAACCACAAAAACACAAUAAAACACAAACAUGAAUAACACUAUAACGCAAAUAAAAACCACAAUAACGACAUUUAAACUCCCAACACCCCGAACUCCCAUGGUGCAUUGCAGCGCAACAGUCCCGUCUUAGCUACCGGCUCUGCGUUUGUGACAAUACUAAUAUGACACAGUUACUCUGCUGUGUAGGAUUUCUUAAUAUAUGUUUGUAAGGUUUUAAUAGUUUCUUCACCAAUUAUAACUGUAAGAUUAUUAAUAAUGUUUCUCCACCAAUAUAUAAAAUGUAGGAUAAAUGUUUGCUCAAAUGGGGUUAAGGUUUUUAUGCAGAAUUAUUAUAUAGUCUACCUGAUAUUUGACCAGUGAAGUAUUUAGAUUAGACAAAUAUAAUAAUGCAGCAUAUGAAACACUUCUUGUUGCGCUGUCAAGAAGAGCUUCAGGAAUUGUAAGGGGAAUCAUUUAGCUUGACAGGUUAUGUAUAAAAUUGAGGUAGCUGGAAUCUAUACAAGUUAGGGACCAAAAUGCGAACAACAAAACAAUUGAGGCACUGAACUUAUAUUUAUGCACAUUUAUUAAAUUAAAUUAAACUAAACAAUAACAACAACAAUAACACACAUUAAGGUGAAUAACAACAACACAAAACAAAAAGGAUGGUGAAAUGUGAAUGAUGGGAAAAGGAAGGAAGAGAACGCGAUAUUUUAGCGUAACACUGGGAUUAAUAUUACACUUGAAAUAUGGUGUUCUGAGGCAAAGGGUAAAAUAGGCCACACCUGAAAGCAGCCGUCAAUUUGAGAGUAGGCUAAUUUGUUAGCUUGUAAGUUUUAUCUUUGAAAAGAUAAUUUGGGUAAGUUGCACCAAGUUCCAGUGACUGAAAGAUACUUGCUUGCCAUGAUGAUGAUGACGAUGAUGAUGCUGCCUCGGUGGAUGGUCCGGUCGGCCUUUGUUGAUGUGGGGCAGAACAGCAGUGAACAGAGUGGAGCCUCGGAGUCGGGAGAAGGAGAGCUCUUAGAAAGGAGGACUCUGAUGGUAAAGGAGAGCUCUUUCUUCGAACGGCGGACUCUUGGGUUGGAAGACUCUUCCGGGAGGACUUCUGGGUAAAGGAGGACUCAAAGUGGUGCUUUCAGAUGUGGUCUUUUAAAGUGGACCUUUGCAUAUCAUAGUUUUUAUUUUCUUUUUUGUUUGUAUACAGCAAUGUACAUAUAAAUGAUACAAUUCAUUAAGAAUAUGCAGAAUUUAUGUUACAUGAUAAUUUGCUCAAAUUGUAUUUUAAUAAGACAGUAAUCACAACAGAGUGAACAUGAUGUUAUAUUUCCUCUUUUAUAAUUUCAUUAUUUAAUGUGAUAACUGACAACUAGUCAUUUAGCUGUUGUGACUGUUGUGAGUAGCACAAAAGUUAGAAAAAUAUCAGUAUGACACCAUCUACGAUAAAGGAAGAACUGUACAAAAGAAAUUAAUCAGAGUUUGCCUGUAUUAAUAAAGAAAUAGUACAUGAUAUCUGAAAGUGAAACACUAAAAAAAAUUGAUGUAGAAGAAUGUGCAGAUAAAAGAUACAAAUCAUAAAGAAUAUGCAAAAUUUACAGUGUGUUGCAUAAAAAGUGUUCAAAUUAUAUUUUAAUGAGACAGUAAUCACAAAAGAAUGAAUAUGUUAAGGUUAUAUUUCUUGAUUUCUCAUGUCAGGUGAUCUAUAUGCACCAUAAUGAUGUCUGUGGUUAUGUUCUAAGACAGGUUUCAUAAAAGGCUCAAUAAUCUCAGAAACAAAGUACAUACUACUCAAAAAAUAACAAGAAACUUUGCUGUUGUUCUUUCAGUGUUUCGGUCCUUUCAUCAGAGGUAACUUUUAUCUCUGUUCUGCUCUCUGUCUACAUCUCUGGAUAAAAUGGUGUCUCCAGGACAAUUUUCUUUUUCUCCAAUGUCGGUUGGCCUUCGUAUAGAGAGUCAUGGAUCUUCUGCCAUGAGUCCAUCUCUGAGCUCCACAGAGCAGCUCUGGCUCUGAUGAACUUUGAGACUUCAGUCUCGCUGCCUUUAGACAGACUGAUGCUGUCUUUGCAGAUGAAGAAGAUAUCCAUGCCAAGGAAGAGAGCGUUGGCUGCAAUGAAACCGGCCCUCGCUGUCUUGGUGAGCACAAGAGGCCCUUUGACUGCUGCCUGACCAAUAUCUGGGAUAUCUGCAGCCACCUUGGGAACGUUACGCAAGGCUUUCCCCUCCUGAGCCACCACCUUACCAGCACUUGCUGCAACCUGUUCCAUUUUUAACACCUUCAAAGCAGAGGCACCAUCAACAAGCGCAUCAAUGCCUUUACCAACAUUAACACCAACUUUAGCAAGUGCCACACCUACUCCCAGAGCUACAUCUACGUCAUUUGCUUCCAUUUUGCUGACUGGCUGAUUGACCACCUCCUCCAGAGAUCAACAGUGUGUCGACUGAAUCUGCUGUAAUCAGCCCUCAGCAAGGAAUUUAACAGGUGGAACAGGUUUUAUUUUCUUUUGGUUUUGUUUUCUCAUUUUGAGCUCCACCCAUUUCUGCAGUACAUUGUUCAAGUAUCCGAUGUCAGAUGGUAUUUGGAGAUAAGACAAUCAUAGCUGGACUUGUUGAAUACAGAUUCUUCAUGGUCGGAAAUGUGCAAGUUACCUGAAUAACAAUUAAAGUGACUGUUUAUCAACAUAAAACAUCUUUUUCCAGGGGCCCUGCAGAGGUUUUUCAUAGAAUAGCAAACAAGAAAACAAAAACCAUAACUGAAUUUCUUGCGUUCUGUUAUGUUGUUGUUGUAGUACAGAGACCUGCUGUAAAUCCUUAUAUACCACACAUACACUUUGGUUUCUCAUUUUACAGUUAAUUUUAGUUGUCAGUGUGACCACAGAAAUGAUGGUGAGCUGUAUUUGAGGGAGGAAAAAUUCACCCUUAGGCAAGAUAUCCAUAGUUUAUUUAUGAUUCUUUGAAUACGAAUACAACUCAGUCUGCAACAUACAAUAUCUCAAUCUGCUUUACAGCAAACAUCUGUUUUGUUUACAAAUAAUUUUCUGAUCUACUUUGGCUGAAAAAUACCCCAAAACUCGAAAAUUAUCUUUAGCUCUGGAACAUUAAAUACAAAGUUGGAAAGUUUCCCAUUUUACCCCGUUGAAAUGGUAUAGGUGCCCAGAUUUAUUUGUCCAAAGCAUGUGGUCUCAGAAACUUGGUCUCAAUGUGUGAAGAGGAACAUUACAAGCAGUUUCUCACAAUAUUGUGCUGUAAAUUCCAUUAAUGUGUGUGGAGACUACAGUGUUCAAGGUGAUCUGGUCUCUGGAGCCCUCCUGUUGAUAAAACAGGAACAGAUCUGAGUCCUUCUAGCAAGAUUUUUAAAUUGAAAACUAGUGAGACACUGGUCACUGAUCAUACCAGUCAAAAGUUUGGACACACUUUCUCAUUCAAUUGAAUGGAAAGUGUGAGACUAGUGUGAGUAACAGGGCUGCAACGAAUCAUAAUAUUUACCGUCAAUUAAUCUGUUAAGUUUUUUCGAUUGACUUAAUUGUAAUUAUUUGGUCUUCAAAUGUCAGAAAAUUAAGAAAAAUGUCGGCCAGUGUUUCUCAACUUAAAGAUAUUCAGUUUAGUCUUAUAGAGAAGGAAAGAAAGUAGAGAAUAUUCAAUUUUAAAUACAUGGACUUAGGUGGUCAGAAAGGUUUUGAUAUAUCAUCUACUAUAAAAGCAGAACUGUAUAAUCCUAAUUGAACCUUUGCCUGCUGUUUUGUCGCUAAAUCUUGUAGACUGUGGUUACCUUCAUACCAGCCUCAGUCAUUAAAGUUUGACUUUUGUUUCUGUA
Molecule: long non-coding RNA, 4594 nt
Organism: Amphiprion ocellaris (clown anemonefish)
Lineage: Eukaryota; Metazoa; Chordata; Actinopteri; Pomacentridae
Exons: 2
Source: RefSeq, a predicted model, not a curated record